Columba livia (rock pigeon) is the source of this 1341-nucleotide long non-coding RNA. RefSeq lists it as uncharacterized. NCBI's taxonomy places the organism in Eukaryota, Metazoa, Chordata, Aves, Columbiformes, Columbidae. The transcript is spliced from 4 exons. The record is from RefSeq and is a predicted model, not a curated record.
GGGAAAGCUCCGCCCUGUCUGCGCUGAGGGGGCGGUGGCCUCAGCGGCCUCGGGUCUUGCGGUACCUUGGGCAGCCGGGGGAGGUCAUUGCUUUUAUCAAGAGAAGCUUAUUCUUCAGCUCUGGGAUGCACAGCCUGUUGUCUGUCACAUGAAAGUAAUGUUGCAAACAAGCUAGGAAGCACCCAAGCUGAAUAAGGUCAGUAUCCGGAAGGAUCUAAGAGAACUACCAUAGAUGGGUGUCUUACAAUUACACAGAUUCACAGGUUCACAGAAUAUCAGGGAUUGGAAGUGACCUGGAAAGCUCAUCCAGUGCAAUCCCCCCAUGGAGCAGGAACACUCAGAUGAGGUUACACAGGAAGGUGUCCAGGCGGGUUGGAAUGUCUGCACAGAAGGAGACUCCACAACCUCCCUGGGCAGCCUGGGCCAGGCUCUGCCACCCUCACCAUCAAGAAGUUUCUUCUCAUAUUUAAGUGGAACCUCCUGCGUUCCAGUUUGUACCCAUUGCCCCUUGUCCUGUCACUGCUUGUCACCCAGAAGAGCCUGGCUCCAUCCUCCUGACACUCCCCCUUUCCAUAUUGAUCCCCAUGAAUGAGUCCCCCCUCAGUCUCCUCUUGUCCAGCUCCAGAGCCCCAGCUCCCUCAGCCUUUCCUCACACGGGAGAUGCUCCACUCCCUCCAGCAUCUUGGUGGCUGCGCUGGACUCUCUCCAGCAGUUCCCUGUCCUGCUGGAACUGAGGGGCCCAAUUGUUUUGCUGGACUUCUGUGUUUUCAGGCACUUGUGUAGACAUUAAGAAGGCUGUAACAUACGGGCCUCAAAACUACGGUUACCAUCUUGGCUAUAGUCUCUCAAUACGGACUGGGCACAGACUAGAUCCUUGCAAAUAUUAAUUUUGAAUAGGGAAGGAUGUUAAACUUCAAGCUUGACAUUCAAGAACUGUCUCCUACAAGGGAGUGUGUGGCAAAUUUUGCAAAAGCGAGGGAAGGUAUUACCCCCAUAGUUUAGAAAGUCCAUAUUUCCUCCACAGAUUGCUAAACAUGAGCCACUGUUGGGGUGAAAUAUUAUUGUUUAUGAACAAAGCUUAAGGAUUACUAUCCCAAGUAUUUUGGGAUUUGGGAGCAUCUUUCUGUGCUAACCAUGAAGUUCUCUUAGAACUUCUAGAUGACCUGGCUGAAGUUUUCAGCUCCCUCAGAUUUUACCUGUAUAGCAGACAGUGGCGUUAACUUUAAUGAAGGGACAGAAUCCAAAACCUUUCUUAGUUGCAGAUAGAGUUCUGCAAGCUCUGUCUUGGGUUCCUUUGCUUCUACUUUGUCAAAUUAUCUGUCCACUUGGAAUAAAUUACUA